GGAGGGGUCGCAUAGUCCGGUUUAGUGCACUCGCCUCGAAAGCGAGCAGGCCCGAUGAGGGUCUCGUGGGUUCGAAUCCCACCCCCUCCGCCA
Molecule: transfer RNA, 93 nt
Filed under: Chloroflexota bacterium
Lineage: Bacteria; Bacillati; Chloroflexota
Description: Chloroflexi bacterium tRNA-Ser
Rfam family: tRNA
About the family: Transfer RNA (tRNA) molecules are approximately 80 nucleotides in length.
Source: RNAcentral